This 184-nucleotide non-coding RNA is filed under the name human gut metagenome. Its description in RNAcentral is "Lysine riboswitch". It matches the Rfam family "Lysine riboswitch aptamer". From Rfam's summary of the family: Riboswitches are metabolite binding domains within certain messenger RNAs that serve as precision sensors for their corresponding targets. Allosteric rearrangement of mRNA structure is mediated by ligand binding, and this results in modulation of gene expression. The record is from RNAcentral.
UGAUAGAGGUGCGGAUUUUAUCAGUAAUACCGAUUAGGCUGCGGAGUCUGUGAGGCGGUAUGAAAGGAAAUUCCGCCGAAAUGGCGCAUCCUCCGCAGGGGCGGCUGUUGGACGUAUUGUUAACAGCAAUACGGCUGUCACUAAGGAUUUUAGUGGAGGGCUAUCCACUAAAUUAGUGGAGGGC